This 1107-nucleotide long non-coding RNA is filed under the name Ursus maritimus (polar bear). Its description in RNAcentral is "lncRNA (ENSUMAG00000014677.1)". Lineage: Eukaryota; Metazoa; Chordata; Mammalia; Carnivora; Ursidae. The record is from RNAcentral.
AUCAGGGUGUGUGAACGCGAGGAGCGCGACGCGAGUGUGGGUCAGACACCAAGGAAACCAUACGGAGUGCCUGCUGGGCGCCACCGACAUGCCCGCGCGAGGGAUGCAGCCGGGGCCCUGACCUCGCAGGCCGGCUGCGUAGACGGCCGCAACCGUGUAAACAGGCUCGGAUCACUCCGGCCCGCGCUAAGUGCGGGGAGGACACCAGCUCGGGAGAUGGAGUAAGGGUCAGGGAGCGAUUCUCGGAGAAGGUGUCAUCCGGGCCUGAGUGGACUAGCCAGCGGGGGCUUUUGAGGCCCAGGAAGCAGCGAGAUUUUGAGGCAGGGCCCAGCCUGGUGCGUUUGCAGGGAGAAAAGAGGCCAGCGUGGCUGGAGUGCCGUGAGGGAGGCUUGGAGGUGGGGAGAGGUUGGCCCGCGCCUCGAAGAUGGCGGGGAGUGAGUGGAUUCCGUUCCCGAGUCUGUCGGGCCCACGGGAGGCUUAGAGCAAAUUGCUUCACCUGUAAAAUGGAAAUAAUAGCAGUCAUCGCCUCCGAGGUGAACACAGCCCCCAGCUGCUAAUAAGCACCUGGUAAAACGGCAGCUGCUUGGAUGUCUGGGGGGAGGGAGCCUGGAGGAGUGGCCUGGUUCAUCCUGGGGUGAGCCUCCCCAGGGAAGGCUUCUUGGAGGAGGUGAUCGUUGGUGGGUUACUAAGGAUGAUUCAGAGUUAACAGGGCGGAGAGACCAGUGCACAGAGAUGCGGAGGAGCUAAGAGAUCUGCCAGCAAGCAACCUCGCUGGUCCAGAUCCAGAUGGACUUGGGGAUGAGGGAGGAGUGCAUAGAUCCUGGAGAGACUGGAAGGGGGGGAGCGGCCGCUGAUCAGGGAGCAGGUUUCGGUGCAUCUGGAAAUGGGGAUGUUGCUAGACACCCGGGUGGGGGCGAGGUGCAGAGUGGGCUUAGAAGAAGCAAGCCUGGAGCUUGGGAGACAUCCCCACCUGGGGGGAUUGGGCAGAGAGAAGAUGCGAGGAAACAGUAGGUGGCAAGCCAGAAGCCAGGGAGCAAGGGCUUCAAAAAGGAGGGAAUGAUUAGCUCGGUUAAGUUUCUGAAUCGUCUGCUUGAAUAAUUCAGUCAG